This 967-nucleotide ribosomal RNA is filed under the name human gut metagenome. RNAcentral describes it as "bacterial LSU rRNA". It matches the Rfam family "Bacterial large subunit ribosomal RNA", at positions 1955 to 2925 of the family's 2925-position model. The record is from RNAcentral.
GGUAGCGAAAUUCCUUGUCGGGUAAGUUCCGACCCGCACGAAAGGCGUAAUGAUUUGAGCACUGUCUCGACAAUGCAUCCGGUGAAAUUGAAGUACCAGUGAAGAUGCUGGUUACCCGCGCCAGGACGGAAAGACCCCAUGGAGCUUUACUCCAGUUUGAUACUGGGAUUCGGUACUGCAUGUACAGGAUAGGUGGGAGACGGAGAAGGAUGGACGCCAGUCUGUCCGGAGUCGCUGUUGGGAUACCACCCCUGUAGUACUGGGUUUCUAACCAGUUGCCAUGAACUGGCAAUGGGACAAUGUCAGGCGGGGAGUUUGACUGGGGCGGUCGCCUCCGAAAGGGUAUCGGAGGCGCUCAAAGGUUCCCUCAGAAUGGUUGGAAACCAUUUGAAGAGUGCAAAGGCAGAAGGGAGCUUGACUGCGACACCGACGGGUGGAGCAGGUACGAAAGUAGGACUUAGUGAUCCGGUGGUAUAAAGUGGGAUUGCCAUCGCUCAACGGAUAAAAGCUACCCUGGGGAUAACAGGCUUAUCACUCCCAAGAGUUCACAUCGACGGAGUGGUUUGGCACCUCGAUGUCGGCUCAUCGCAUCCUGGGGCUGUAGCAGGUCCCAAGGGUUGGGCUGUUCGCCCAUUAAAGCGGUACGCGAGCUGGGUUCAGAACGUCGUGAGACAGUUCGGUCCCUAUCCGGCGCGGGCGGAGGAUAUUUGAGAGGAGCUGUCCUUAGUACGAGAGGACCGGGAUGGACGGACCACUGGUGUAUCUGUUGUCGACCAACGGCAUGGCAGAGUAGCCAAGUCUGGAAGGGAUAAACGCUGAAGGCAUCUAAGCGUGAAGCCCCCCUCAAGAUGAGAUAUCCCUCCUUCGGGAGUAAGACCCCUUGAAGACUACAAGGUAGAUAGGGCAGAGGUGGAAGCAUGGCAACAUGUGGAGCUGACUGUUACUAAUAGGUCGAGGGCUUAAUCUG